UGAACAGUGGGAGUAUUCAGACCCCCUUAAAUUCUAUUUGCAGCCAUUUUCCUCUAAUGUACACACAACACCCCAUAUAUUGACAGAAAACACAGAAUUGUUGACAUUUUUGCACAUUUAUUUGAAAAGAAAAACUGAAGUAUCACAUGGUCAUAAGUAUUCAGACCCUUUGCUCAGUGUUUAGUAGAAGCACCCUUUUGAUCUAAUACAGCCAUGAGUCUUUUUGGGAAAGAUGAAAAGUUUUUCACACCUGGGUUAAGGGAUCCCCUGCCAUUCCUCCUUUAAGAUCUGCUCCAGUUCUGUCAGGUUGAAUAGUAAACGUUAGUGGACAGCAGGGAUGGAAAUUAGCACCUGCCAGCAGCCAAAUGCAGGUAAACUUGCUUCACCUACCGGCCACCGUGGCGGGUAAAUAAAAAUAGCAUACUGUUUUACCCGAACGGUGGACUCUUUUAGAGGAGGCACACCUUCAAAAAAAAAAAAAAAUGUGGCGUUACAUUGCAGGCGUUAAGAGGUCUGCAGAGAAAACAUCUCAGAAGGACCCAGUGGACAAAGAGGCGAAGAUCAAAAAACUUUUUUUUUUUUUAAGAACGAUGGAGAAAAGCGGACAACGGGGAGUCCCGCGAUUGGUUAGUUUACGUCGAGACAAGUCUGACAAUGUUCUGCUCAGUAUGUCGUCAACAAGCUUUAGAAGAUGCCAAAACUAAUAGUUUCAUUGUUGGGACUAAAAAUCUAAAACUGGAAGCCAUAAAAGACCAUGAAUCAUCCAAAUGCCAUAUCCAGGUAAAAAAGAGAGCACAGCCAAAUUCCUCUCCAUUAUGUCUGACGGGUCUACUGACUGCCGUGAUUGAACAGGAAAUGCUGUAUACACGCUUGUGCAACCGAGGCAAGGUGGAGGUCCACUUUGUAGAUAUACAGGAUGUGGAGAAAGCAGACUGUGAGUACAUAGCUCAGGCAAUAGAAAACUUGAUGAGGGAGGUCUGUGGAGAAGAGUGGCAGGCCAAGUUGGUGGCAUGUGCAACUGAUGGUGCGUCAGUGAUGACAGGGACACGUAAAGUAGUGAGCAGGCUGAGAGGAAGUGACAUGCACGUCCUGGGUAUUCACUGUAUGGCACAGCGCUUGGAACUAGCUUUCUAGGAUGCCAUUAAGAGCUGCUCUAUGGCUAAACAGAUUGAAGAUGUGCUGGCAGUGCUGCAUACAUUCUACUGUAAAUGUGCUCUCAACAGGGCAAACCUACAGCACACCUUCAAGAUUCUGGGCCAGAAUCCCCUUGUACCAACUAGGGUCGGAGGCACCAGAUUCAGUCACCAGAUGCUGAAGGGGUGAAUGCAGUGCAGAAGAGCAAAGCACGGUACUACUUCCAAACCUGCCGGCAUCCACCAUUUUUCAUGUUUUGCAACUUCAUGCAUGAUUGCAUGAAAAACAGACCUGGGCCCAAGCUCAAAGCCUGUAUGAAGCAGCACGAGAAUGAUGACAGCAUCCUAAACCGUGUCAUGAGGGCCAACUUUGAUCUGCUUGACAAACUCUGCCAGACUCUGUCACUUCACUGACAUCACCAUAGUGAUUCUCCAAGCUACGAAAAUUUGGUGAAUCAGAAGUGGUGGAAUUAACUACACACUUCCAGGGCAUCCUGAAAUCCUCGGGGGUAGCUGUUGAGCUCAUCUCAGAUCAGUGGACCAUUCUCAAGACCAGACUGUAUGAGAUGGUAGAGAGUCUCCACAUGAAGACAUGGCCAGAAAUCAACAAGUCUUUGCAACCGCAGUGCCCCGACAUCCUCAGCCUGAUUGACCUCAUUCUCACCGUUCCAGCCUCGACUGCAGACUGUGAAAGAGGCUUCAAUCAAAUGAAGUUAGUGAACUACUGACUGUUCAGCUAUCCAGUCCUUUUAUUGAGAAUUAUGACCCCACCCCUGCUAUCCAGCUCUGGCAACAGGCUAGCAUCCAGCCUAGAAGGCCACAGUUCAUGGAGGGGAAGAAGAACGCUCAGGAAAGCACCUCUGAAACUUCAGAAUCUGAUUCUGAUGAGCAGGAGUAAAUUGGACUGGGAGUGGGGAGGAUGGGUGGAGGAAUGUUAGUUUUUUGUUUAAUCUGCCCUACUCAUUUAAUGAAUGUAUAUCGGUUCAUGGUUUGUGUGUGUAUGAGAAAAAGAGAAAAUAUCAGUAUUUCACUCCCUUAGCACCCCCAUUACACACCUAGUUAAUUUAUCGAUAAAGCAAUCAAUUUUCCCAGCUGCCUGGAAAAAUGCAGUGUUGGUUCUGAUUUUCAAGACAGGGGAACCUACUGAUGUAGCUAACUAUAUAGACCUAUCAGCACUUUGUCGGUGGCAUCAAAGUUUGCAGAAAAAGUGGUAACUGAGCAGUUAACUGACUUUUUAAAUUCUGGACAAAUACUUCAUCCAAUGCAAUUUGGUUUUAGGAAAAAUUACUCGACCGAAAUGGCUACUUGCUAUUUUGUUGAAAAAAUCAAAUCAAAACUAGAUAGUGGGAGUGCUGUAGGAGCAGUUUUUCUGGAUUUAAAAAAAGCUUUCCAUAAUGUUCUUCUUUCUAAGUUGUCAAACUUAAAUUUUUCUGAUGAUGCUAUGAAAAGGAUGGAGUCAUAUCUCACCAUGACAAGACAAAGCACCAGAGUUGGGAAUAAAAUGUCAUCAUUCAGUAGCUGUUCUGUUGGCAUCCCGCAAGGCUCAGUCUUAGGCCCUUUGUUAUUCAGUCUAUAUGUUAACGAUCUACCACUAGCAUGUCCCCAAGUUGACACCCAAAUGUAUGCAGAUGACACAGUCAUUUUUGCACAUGGAAGAGACCGAUAUGAAGUGGCAACCAAAUUAACAGCAGCAAUGGCAAAAAUUGCUACCUGGCUUUCUGAGUCUUGCAUGACGUUAAACGUCAGUAAAACUGCGUGUAUGUAUUUUUAUAUAAGGAAAAAUUAAAAUCAGCCAGAUCUCGUUGUAAAAGGGGGGGGAAAUCCAGAUUGUGUCACAUUUUAAAUACCUGGGAGUUACUCUUGAUUCACAGUUGUCUUUUACGAAACAUAUAAAGCAGGUUUGUAAUACUGUUAAAUUUAAUUUGAGAAAUUUUAGACACAUUCGUAAUCAGUUACCUCUAGAUGCUGCCAAAUUGUAUAUGCACUCAAUGAUUUUCUCACAUUUUACAUACUGCAUCACAAGUUGGUCGCAAACCGGAAAAACAAUACUUGCUCCACUACAAACGCUAUAUAAACAAACUCUCAAAGUAUUAGAUAAAAAGCCAUCAGGUUAUCACUACUGCAAUAUCAUCCAAAAGCACAAGCUCUUGACUUUUGACAACUUUAUGUGCUUUACCAAUGUUUGUUUAGUUUACAGAGUAAUUAAUAAUCUGGCUGCGCCCCAAUUAAAGGAGUUCAUAUUAUUGCUCUCAGAUAGUUGGAGAACUACCAGGGCAAACAGUAGAGGUCACGGUGCCGUACAGCACAGACGUACUGAGUUUGGCAGAUCCGCCUUCUCUAUCAGAGCCUCUUAGUACUGGAAUUCAGUCCCAAAUGAGAUUAGAGACAUCAGUUCAUUUACUUGUUUUAAAUAUAAAAUAAAAUCAUGGCUAAAAUCGAUACAGUCAUGUACCCAUUAAUCAUAAAUAAAAAAUAAAAAAACUCAUUUUCUGUCGUAUCCUAACAUUGUAUUGUUGAGUCUAUUAAUACUGCAUUUUAUUUUGUUCUGUUGUUUUGUUUUAUCGGGUUUUUAAGAAUGUGAAACUUUGUUGUCUGAAAGGCUAUUUGCGUGAUGACGUUUUAUGGUAUAUUUAUAUGUGAUUGUUAAUCGUAUGUUACCUCGUCCUGCCCAGGGACUACAGAUGAAAUUUAGCUUGUAGCUAAUUCUGGUAUGGCUGAGUGCCAUACACUGUCCCUGUUAAAUAAACAAAUAAAUAAAUCAGUAUUUCACUGAGACUUGAGAUUAAAUAAACUGCUUAAGUCUUGUAGAUCUUGUAGUAUUAAUUUUCACAUGCAGUUACACAUUGUCGGUUAAAAACAAGAAAGUGGCUGGUAAAAACAUUGAGUUGCUGGUAGAUUUUGAAAUCUACCAGACACAGUGGCCGGUGGAUAAAUAAGUUAUUUUCCAUCCCUUGUAGACAUCCAUUUUCAGGUCUAUCCAGAGAUGCUCAAUUGGGUUUAAAUCGGGGCUGAGUUGUUGUGAAGCCACUCCUUCGUUAUUUUAGCUGGGUGCUUAGGGUCAUUGUCUUGUUGGAAGGUGAUCCUUCUCUUGGUCUCAUCAGACCAGAGAAUCCUAUUUCUCACCAUCUUGGAGUCCUUCAGGUGUUUUUUUAGCAAACUCCAUGGGGGCUUUCAUUUGUUUUGUACGGAGUAGAGGCUACUGUCGGGCCACUCUACCAUUAAGCCCGACUGGUGGAGGGCUGCAGUGAUGGUUGACUUUCUACAACUCUCUCCCACCUCUCGACUGCAUCUCUGGCGCUCAGACACAGUGAUCUUUGGGUUCUUCUUUACCCCUCUCACCAAGGCUCUUCUCCCCCGAUAGCUCAGUUUGGCCGGACAGCCAGCUCUAGGAAUGGUUCUGGUCGUCCCAAACGUCUUCCAUUUAAAGAUUAUGGAGGCCACUGUGCUCUUAGGAACCUUAAGUGCAGCAGAAUUUUUUUGUAACAUUUGCCAGAUCUGUGCCUUGCCACAAAUCUGUCUCUGAGCUCUUCUGGCAGUUCCUUUGACUUCAUGAUUCUCAUUUGCUCUGAAGUGCACUGUGAAAUGUAAGGUCUUAUCUAGACAGGUGUGUGGCUUUCCUAAUCAAGUCAGCUGGACUCAAAUGAAGGAGUAGAACCAUCUCAAGGAUUAUGUGAAGAAAUGGAGAGCACCGGAGUUAAAUAUGAGUGUCACAGCAUAGGGUCUGAAUACUUAGGACCAUGUGAUAUUUCAGUUUUUCUUUUUUAAUAAAUGUGCAAAAAUGUCAACAAUUCUGUGUUUUUCUGUCAAUAUGGGAUGCUGUGUGUACAUUGAGGGAAAAAAAUGAAAUUAAAUGAUUUUAUCAAAUGGCUGCAAUAUCACAAAAGGUUAAAAAUUUAAGGGGGUCUGAAUACUUUCUGUACCCACUGUAUAUGAUCACACCAUUGUGAUUAAAGUAUUCACUGUGUCAUGUGUUU
Carassius auratus (goldfish) is the source of this 5107-nucleotide long non-coding RNA. RefSeq lists it as uncharacterized. The transcript has 4 exons. Lineage: Eukaryota; Metazoa; Chordata; Actinopteri; Cypriniformes; Cyprinidae. The record is from RefSeq and is a predicted model, not a curated record.